RNAcentral lists this unclassified non-coding RNA (205 nucleotides) under uncultured Trechisporales. RNAcentral describes it as "sequence contains ITS2". The record is from RNAcentral. Lineage: Eukaryota; Fungi; Basidiomycota; Agaricomycetes; Trechisporales.
AGUCAUCAACCCCUCGCGCUUUUGCGUGAGCGGGCUGGAGUUUGAGGGCUUGCUGCCGAAGGGCGGCUCCCUCCAAAUGCUUCGGUUGGGCCUGCGGGUCGAACUCGACUGGGCGUUGUACCAUCCUCGCUCGACCGAGACGUUCCCCUUCCGCGCCCCGCCUCGACCGCCUGUGGAGCGGCGGUCAAAAACGAGCCUUUGAAAU